This 402-nucleotide ribosomal RNA is filed under the name bacterium. RNAcentral's name for it is "partial 16S ribosomal RNA". It matches the Rfam family "Bacterial small subunit ribosomal RNA", at positions 355 to 776 of the family's 1533-position model. The record is from RNAcentral.
UGGGGAAUUUUGCACAAUGGGGGAAACCCUGAUGCAGCGACGCCGCGUGAUUUAGAAGGCCUUCGGGUUGUAAAAAUCUUUUCUAUGGGAAGAAAAUGACAGUACCAUAGGAAUAAGGACCGGCUAAUUACGUGCCAGCAGCCGCGUUACUACGUAAGGUCCGAGCGUUGUCCGGAAUCAUUGGGCGUAAAGGGUACGUAGGCGGGUAAGCAAGUUAGAAGUGAAAUCCUAUAGCUCAACUAUAGUAAGCUUUUAAAACUGCUCAUCUUGAGGUAUGAAAGGGAAAGUGGAAUUCCUAGUGUAGCGGUGAAAUGCGCAGAUAUUAGGAGGAAUACCGGUGGCGAAGGCGACUUUCUGGCCAUAACCUGACGCUGAGGUACGAAAGCGUGGGUAGCAAACAGG